This 460-nucleotide ribosomal RNA is filed under the name uncultured bacterium. RNAcentral describes it as "partial 16S ribosomal RNA". It matches the Rfam family "Bacterial small subunit ribosomal RNA", at positions 338 to 795 of the family's 1533-position model. The record is from RNAcentral.
CCUACGGGCGGCAGCAGUGAGGAAUAUUGGUCAAUGGGCGCUAGCCUGAACCAGCCAAGUCGCGUGAAGGAUGACUGCCCUAUGGGUUGUAAACUUCUUUUAUAUGGGAAUAAAGUGCAGUAUGUAUACUGCUUUGCAUGUACCCUGUGAAUAAGCAUCGGCUAACUCCGUGCCAGCAGCCGCGGUAAUACGGAGGAUGCGAGCGUUAUCCGGAUUUAUUGGGUUUAAAGGGUGCGUAGGCGGGUUGUUAAGUCAGUUGUGAAAGUGUGCGGCUCAACCGUAAAAUUGCAGUUGAACCUGGCAUCCUUGAGUGCAGUGGAGGUAGGCGGAAUGCGUGGUGUAGCGGUGAAAUGCAUAGAUAUCACGAAGAACCCCGAUUGCGAAGGCAGCCUGCUGGACUGUAACUGACGCUGAGGCACGAAAGUGUGGGGAUCGAACAGGAUUAGAUACCCCUGUAGUC